This 984-nucleotide ribosomal RNA is filed under the name human gut metagenome. RNAcentral describes it as "bacterial LSU rRNA". It matches the Rfam family "Bacterial large subunit ribosomal RNA", at positions 1942 to 2925 of the family's 2925-position model. The record is from RNAcentral.
AUAACGGUCCUAAGGUAGCGAAAUUCCUUGUCAGGUAAGUUCUGACCCGCACGAAAGGCGUAAUGAUUUGGACACUGUCUCGACAAUGUACUCGGCGAAAUUGUAGUACUAGUGAAGAUGCUAGUUACCUGCGACAAGACAGAAAGACCCCAUGGAGCUUUACUGUAGCUUGAUACUGGGUUUUGAUAAUUUAUGUACAGGAUAGGUGGGAUACUAAGAAGCAUUUGCGCCAGCAGAUGUGGAGUAGACGUUGGGAUACCACCCUUAAGUUAUUGAAAUUCUAACCAUUCGUCGUAAACCGGCGAGGGGACAAUGUCAGGCGGGCAGUUUGACUGGGGCGGUCGCCUCCAAAAGAGUAACGGAGGCGCGCAAAGGUUUCCUCAGCACGGACAGAAAUCGUGCGAAAGAGUGCAAAGGCAGAAGGAAGCUUAACUGAGAGACUGACAAGUCGACCAGAUACGAAAGUAGGUCUUAGUGAUCCGGCGGUAGUGAGUGGAAAUGCCGUCGCUCAACGGACAAAAGUUACCCUGGGGAUAACAGGCUUAUCUCCCCCAAGAGUUCACAUCGACGGGGAGGUUUGGCACCUCGAUGUCGGCUCAUCACAUCCUGGAGCGGAAGUACGUUCCAAGGGUUGGGCUGUUCGCCCAUUAAAGUGGUACGCGAGCUGGGUUCAGAACGUCGUGAGACAGUUCGGUCCUUAUCUGUCGCAGGCGGAGGAUAUUUGAAGGGAGUUGGCCCUAGUACGAGAGGACCAGGCUGAACGAACCUCUGGUGCACCAGUUGUCAUACCAAUGGCACAGCUGGGUAGCUAAGUUUGGAAGGGAUAAACGCUGAAAGCAUCUAAGUGUGAAGCCCACCCUAAGAUAAGAUAUCCCAUACCAUAAGGUAGUAAGAUUCCAUGUAGACGACAUGGUGAUAGGUUGGAGGUGUAAGUGCAGUAAUGCAUUAAGCUGACCAAUACUAAUAAAUCGAGGGCUUAACCAC